RNAcentral lists this ribosomal RNA (570 nucleotides) under Microhyla perparva (least narrow-mouthed frog). RNAcentral's name for it is "partial 16S ribosomal RNA". It matches the Rfam family "Bacterial large subunit ribosomal RNA", at positions 1883 to 2623 of the family's 2925-position model. The record is from RNAcentral. Lineage: Eukaryota; Metazoa; Chordata; Amphibia; Anura; Microhylidae.
GGGAUUGAAUUAACAGGUCAGCCUGCCAGUGACCAAGUUAAACGGCCGCGGUACCCUAACCGUGCAAAGGUAGCGCAAUCACUUGUUCUUUAAAUGAGGACUAGUAUGAACGGCAUCACGAGGGUUAUGCUGUCUCCCCACUCUAUUCAGUGAAACUGAUCUCCCCGUGAAGAAGCGGGGAUAAAAAUAUAAGACGAGAAGACCCCAUGGAGCUUUAAACUCAGUAUCAACUGCUUUACAAAUUAACCUAACAUUUAUGCAACUCUGAUUACUAGUUUUCGGUUGGGGUGACCACGGAGUAUAAAACAACCUCCACGACGAAAGGAAGUAACAACCUAAAUCAAGAGUUACAACUCUAAAUAUCAACAAAUUGACUAAAUUGAUCCAAUAAAUUGAUCAACGAACCAAGUUACCCUGGGGAUAACAGCGCAAUCCAUUUCAAGAGCUCAUAUCGACAAAUGGGUUUACGACCUCGAUGUUGGAUCAGGGUACCCCAGUGGCGCAGCCGCUACUAACGGUUCGUUUGUUCAACGAUUAAAACCCUACGUGAUCUGAGUUCAGACCCGGACU